RNAcentral lists this long non-coding RNA (2758 nucleotides) under Salmo salar (Atlantic salmon). RNAcentral describes it as "lncRNA (ENSSSAG00000093444.1)". The record is from RNAcentral. Lineage: Eukaryota; Metazoa; Chordata; Actinopteri; Salmoniformes; Salmonidae.
AAAAACCCUUUAUUUCAAUAGUGUACAGUACCAUUCAUUCUCACAGACAUACAAUAUGUAACAUGGUUCCCAUCAUGUGAGAAUAGUGUAUCAGGUCAAUAGUAGAGAGGGCAACAGAAAAGUAUCUUCAUCACAGUACCACCCUUAUUGAAAGAAAUAUGAAUUUCACAUAGCAAUCUGCACAAAGAUGCCUUGAAAGUAGCCUGUGAGACUCUCAACCUCAUGGGUAGAGUUGCCUUACAGGCUGCUUUCAAGAAGUGUAAAUCCCAUCACUUUAAAAAUUAACAAGUUUGGAGGAACAAAAUGACAAUUUCUUACAGUAUUGUCAGUAGAUACAUUUACCUAUAUCACUCACUGCUUUGUGUGUGUGUGUGUGUGUGUGUGUGUGUGUAUAUUCUUGCCAUUGCUUUAAUGAAUAAAUAAUUCAUAAUCGUGGUAACUUGGGUCACGUACUGUACAUUGUGUGUUUUUGAAUAUUGUUAAUAUUAUAAUAAUUAUGUCUCAAAGAAAUGGGAUAAUCAACAUAAUUAAAUUGUGUAUCAAUGUGUGUAUGUUUCCAUUAGAUCUUAAAAUGUAAAAAUAAAUAAACAAAACAGUGCACUCCAGUCAAAUUUACCUUAAAAUAAUACAUACAAUAUAUACAAGAAAUAUUAAAAAGUAAUGAUAAAUACAGAAACUGUCAUUUUUAAAGCCCUGUUCCCAAAAUGUACAGUUUAAGGCAAAAAAAAAACUAUUUUAUUAGCGUUUGUAUCUUCGUCAUUCAACAUUUUCUUUUUCUCUUAAAACCACCAUCUCCGAGUCUUGGUCAAGACGAUCAAAAACUACAAACAUGGAGACAGUGAAAUGGGCUUUUAGUUGAGAAGCCCACCAUAACCGUAGUUCAUAACAUAGACACAAUGAAAGACAUAGCAGUUGAUGUAACCAGUUGAUAAAACUAAAAAUAGAAAUUGUUGGUUACAAGUCUAACCGUUGAAAUACAUUUAAAAAUAUAUCUCAGUUGUGGAUGAAUCAACUGUAUUGCUGUUGAGUAAACUGCCUGAACUCAACAACAAAAACGGCAGUUACCCAACGGAGUGUAGUAUACUGAGAUGAAAUAAAAUGAUAAAACAUCUCGCCUCAUAACAGAACGGCGUAACAGGUUUUCCUUAAAAGGUGAAUUUAACAGUUGUAAAACUGCAGUAGGCUAAUGUGUCAAUGUGAUUGUGUAAUAAAUGUUCUAGGUUUUAUGGGCAAUGAAUUCCUUGACUGUUUGUCACACACUAACAGACACCACUUUCACAAUGGUAAUACCAAGUCAGUUUUUUUCAAUCCCUUUGGUGCAAUUUUCACAAGUCUGUGGUAUAUUUUCACAACUCUAAGCACAGAAAUCUAAAACAGAUCAUCAAAAUGGCUCAUAUUUCAAAACUCUAAGCACAUUUUCCAUUGACUGAGCACCAAACAAAUUCAGUGUCACUUGUUCACUGCACCGAAUCACUCUUUCAAUUCGAAUGCAUAUUCAUUAUAAGUAUCUGCUUUUCAAAACGCAAUAUUCACUUUACUUUUGAUAUGAUUUUGUCAAUUGCAAACAAUACAAUUAACUAUUACUUAAUCAAACUGCUCACUACUGAACCAACAUGAUGUAGUGCCUAGCUAACGUGUAUAGCUUGAUAACGGCUGAACACUGUCAAUUUCAAAUCAUGUAUGGAUGUGGCUUUAAAUACUACAUCCUCCUUCUCCAUCAGCCGGUGUGCUUCAAUAGGACAAAGUGGAAAGACUCCCUAUGUGCUACCAUUAUAGCGUAGUGUACAAUGCACUGCUGAAAUACCUAGGAUUAUACAGUAUAUAACAAUACAUUCCAGCCAGUAUCUGAAUUUCAUUGAUACAUUAAGCUGAUGAACUUCAAGCAGAGAGACAGGUGAUACUGUGUCAGUUGACAAGUCAUGUAGAAAAGGUGAUAUUGUACAAUUAUCCAUGGGGCAGAAAUGGAAUACAACACCGUGGUACGUUUUUACCGUAGCCGACUGGUUUACAAUACCACUAUAUCUGAUUAUUUGACCUACGUACUGUAUGUACUGUAGUACUGUAUAAGGAUAAUGAAACUAAAAUUGUGCAUGUCAAGUUAGUCAAAUUCUGUAUGGAAAAAGAUAUUUACAAUCUACUAUUCUUUCUAACCAGCACUUCAAAAAUAACAGUUUUUACAAUGUCUAUCUUGUAUUCUUUGCUAUUGGAUUCAAUGUUAGUUCAAAUUACUAAAUGGUGAGCCUAUCAUUAUCUGAUGUAUUGGCGACUAAACUAAAUGUUGUAUUUUAUGGAAAACUUUGAUUUGGCAUGAAUGACCCUGGGGUGAAAGAUGUGUGCAACCUCAAUGAAUACACAAUCAAAGGUUCUGAACAUAAGACAGGAGGCAUUACACGUGUUAUCAGUUUAGAGUUUUGUACAUAGAGCUUAGAAAAUAUACCACUUACAUCUGAAAAAUGUGCCUAAGUGAUAAAAAAAAAAAAAAAAAUGUAAAUAGAUUACACUGCACCUGGAGUGGUGAAUGGAAAGGGAAUCGAUAGCUGUGGGUGUCCCUGCUGUCUAAAGAAGCUUCAGGUAAAUUCUGUUCUGUUCAAAGAUGCUGUGUCACACCAGCAAACUGACUUGGUCACAGAUUCUCUCACAGAUUCUCUCCAAAAAUCACAGCUUGUUCGCCAAAGACAUUAAUACCUGUGUGUAUCUUACACUAGUUAGAUCGUCAACCAAUAAUAACAUUCUGGUACUCAGUGGCCUCAGUGGUAUU